CAAGUCGAACGGCAGCACGGGAGCUUGCUCCUGGUGGCGAGUGGCGAACGGGUGAGUAAUAUAUCGGAACGUAUCCAAUAAUGGGGGAUAACUAGUCGAAAGAUUAGCUAAUACCGCAUACGCCCUGAGGGGGAAAGCUGGGGAUCUUCGGACCUAGCGUUAAUGGAGCGGCCGAUAUCUGAUUAGCUAGUAGGUGAGGUAAGAGCUCACCUAGGCGACGAUCAGUAGCUGGUCUGAGAGGACGACCAGCCACACUGGAACUGAGACACGGUCCAGACUCCUACGGGAGGCAGCAGUGGGGAAUUUUGGACAAUGGGCGCAAGCCUGAUCCAGCCAUUCCGCGUGAGUGAAGAAGGCCUUCGGGUUGUAAAGCUCUUUCGCAAGGGAAGAAAACUUAACCUCUAACAUAGGUUGAGGCUGACGGUACCUUGAUAAGAAGCACCGGCUAACUACGUGCCAGCAGCCGCGGUAAUACGUAGGGUGCGAGCGUUAAUCGGAAUUACUGGGCGUAAAGCGUGCGCAGGCGGCCUGAUAAGUCAGAUGUGAAAUCCCCGAGCUCAACUUGGGAACUGCGUUUGAAACUAUCAAGCUAGAAUAUGUCAGAGGGGGGUAGAAUUCCACGUGUAGCAGUGAAAUGCGUAGAGAUGUGGAGGAAUACCAAUGGCGAAGGCAGCCCCCUGGGAUAAUAUUGACGCUCAUGCACGAAAGCGUGGGGAGCAAACAGGAUUAGAUACCCUGGUAGUCCACGCCCUAAACGAUGUCUACUAGUUGUUGGUGGAGUAAAAUCCAUGAGUAACGCAGCUAACGCGUGAAGUAGACCGCCUGGGGAGUACGGUCGCAAGAUUAAAACUCAAAGGAAUUGACGG
Molecule: ribosomal RNA, 866 nt
Filed under: uncultured bacterium
Lineage: Bacteria
Description: bacterial SSU rRNA
Rfam family: Bacterial small subunit ribosomal RNA
Source: RNAcentral